UACGGAGGAUGCAAGCGUUAUCCGGAAUGAUUGGGCGUAAAGCGUCCGCAGGUGGCUAUGUAAGUCUGCUGUUAAAGAGUGGGGCUCAACCUCAUAAGAGCAGUGGAAACUACAUGGCUAGAGUGCGUUCGGGGCAGAGGGAAUUCCUGGUGUAGCGGUGAAAUGCGUAGAUAUCAGGAAGAACACCGGUGGCGAAAGCGCUCUGCUAGGCCGCAACUGACACUGAGGGACGAAAGCUAGGGGAGCGAAUGGG
This 253-nucleotide ribosomal RNA is filed under the name uncultured bacterium. RNAcentral's name for it is "partial 16S ribosomal RNA". It matches the Rfam family "Bacterial small subunit ribosomal RNA", at positions 524 to 776 of the family's 1533-position model. The record is from RNAcentral.